This 253-nucleotide ribosomal RNA is filed under the name uncultured Longilinea sp. RNAcentral describes it as "partial 16S ribosomal RNA". It matches the Rfam family "Bacterial small subunit ribosomal RNA", at positions 524 to 776 of the family's 1533-position model. The record is from RNAcentral. Lineage: Bacteria; Bacillati; Chloroflexota; Anaerolineae; Anaerolineales; Anaerolineaceae.
AACGUAGGAGGCGAGCGUUAUCCGGAUUUACUGGGUGUAAAGCGCGUGCAGGCGGUUUGCUAAGUUGGAUGUGAAAGCUCCUGGCUCAACUGGGAGAGGUCGUUCAAUACUGGCAGACUUGAGAGCAGUAGGGGAAGGUGGAAUUCCGGGAGUAGUGGUGAAAUGCGUAGAUAUCCGGAGGAACACCAGUGGCGAAAGCGGCCUUCUGGACUGCAUCUGACGCUCAGACGCGAAAGCUAGGGUAGCAAACGGG